CGAGCACUUGUUUUUCUGAAAUAUUGUAGGAGUGUCAAAUAUUUUAAGAGCAAAGCCAGCAGUUUUUGUAGUUUGAGUUAUUUCCCUGUCAAAAGUAUAGACAGUAUACUGUAUAUACCAGCAUAUAAGAUAACCCUUGAAACUGAAAAUAGCAAAGCAAAAAUGGGGGGCGGGGUGCUCUUAUACUCCUGACAUAUAUAAACAGCCCAAAAUACUGACCUCAUAUGUGAAUUGCCUUAUAUGCCAAUAUAUACAAGUAUUUUUCUGAAACAUGCAUCCUGGUUCCUUGUUUCACAUGUUAUUACCAUAUAUAUCAGUGUAUAAAAUGGCCCUUGAAACCAAAAAUAAUGAAGCAAAAAUGGGGGUCAUCUUAUAUGCUUAACAUGAGACAAACACCAGAAAAACAGCCCAAAAUAUUAACUUUGUCUUAUAUGUGAGUUGCCUUAUAGGUUGGUAUAUAUGGUACAUUGUUUCAUAGUGAUCAAGAUCAUUCUACAUUUUGAGAUUUUGCUAACGAAAGUUUCAGGAAAAGCCAUCGUACUGAUUUUAAUGGGAGUUCUGGUUCCAUUUCAUCCAGGUCUUAUCUUCAGCACAUAUUUUGAGUCUCAGAGCUUUUAGAAAACUGUAUGAGGAGUAGUUUUUGUGUGUAGUUGAACUUCAGUCCAGAAAAAUAAAAUUAAAAAUUAACUUUAAUGAUACUCUCUUAAUGUAGUUCCUCCUGUCUGCAAGUUGAAAGUAAACAAGAUUUUAAAACUUUGGUGGCGAUGCAUAACGUUGCAGGUGAAGGAGCAGGCAAAUCAUCUGCUGCCACAAGAACUGAGCCAAAAUGUACCCCCUCCACAAGCAAAUCCACCUCAGCCACCGUUCAGCAAAUUUCCUCCGGCUCUCCUAAAAAACAUUAAGGAGAAAAGGAAGCACACUGAGGCAAAAAAUCCCAAAUGGGCCAAAAAGCUGGGCAAGGAAAGGCCUGAGAAGAAAGGGAGACACCAUUCACCAAGCACCUUAGUCUCAGGAACCUCACCCAUACAUCCAGUGACUCCAACAGCAGCUUCAAUGCCAGCCUCACCUCCAACUUGACCAUCACCAAUUUGGUCCAUACUGAUUACUCCGAUUCAAGCAGAGCCUCCAUCCCAACAGGAUCAGCACCAGGUCCAAACAGAGACCGCUCUACCUACAUUCUUCUCAGAGGGAGAAACCCGAGAUUCUCCAGGUUCCUAAUUCAACCUCUGUCUCCGGAAUGAUCUGCACCAAUCCCAAGAAGAGAGGUUCAGCUACCGAUCUCUCCAACUUGACUGUACAGUUCAGUGUCUCCAAACUUGUCUCCAGAAUCAACCCAUCAUUCUGUCCAUACCAUCAAACUGUACUACUACCCAUAAUGAAGAGACAUAUACUGGCCACCACCAUAUACUGGACAUUACUGACCCAGUAUCUGUGGGACCCAGCAAUCCCACCAUAUGGAUACCCAGGGCCACCUACUGGACCCGACCUACCUAUCCAAGAUACCAUCAAUGCCAAGAUAAGAACCAGCCUCACAGGCCGCCCCAGCACUUCCCCCUACAACACAGUGCAAACCAAGGAAUAUGAUUCACCAUCGCCAACACACAGCUCCUCCUCCUCUCAUAUGGACUAUGCCUCAGAGUCUGAUUCACAGCUGGAGAUAUAGGAAGCAUGGAAAGUAUUGCCAGGAGAGAGUUUGGGCUGAUUUUCUAAACAGGUCCUUCAUAUGGCCACAUUACUGGGAAUUUAGGCCCAGCAAAUCACUGAACCUGAAGCAUCAUGGUGCAUGAUAUGAUCAGUGUAUGGAGGACUCUGCUCCGGUUGCCCUUUCUCUCAUCCCUGCACUGCAAGAGCCAUGGGAGCUGCCAAAUCAACCCCAUCCCACUUCACGACACCUAGAGAGGAUGUCUAGAGUGCAGGAACGGGACAUUCCCUUUCUAUUACACCAUCCACAGCCAGAUUCAGUGAUUGUUGAGGCCAGGCAAGGUUGCCAGCAAUGUGAACAUUCUUUACAGAUGGCUCAUGAGGGAUGCCACCUUGACAUGGCCUGCCCUAUUUAUUCUGCUAUGGGACUUGGCCACAAGGCCAUGAUGGGGAGAUAUUAAGUCUCCCUUUGCAGAAAAUUGAGUCUUUGGCUGCUUUUCUCCCUGACCAACAGUGAUCAGCCAAAGUCUUCAUCGGAGAAGUGAUACAGUUAUCAAACAACAGCGAUGGCACAGCAUCAUGUCAACGACAACUCCUGAGGACUCGUUGAUGCAAUCACUGUGUGCAGACACACAUGGCUACAGCUGGUAAACCUCCCACAAGAAACCCAGUCAAGGACCAAAAGUAUGGCUUUCAACAGGCAAGAUCUGUUCCUCUCAAGGACUGAUGCAUGCCUCGACACAUUACAAAAAGCCGGAAUGAUGGCACGACAGAUGCAGAGUGCUCACUUUCUAUAGGUCCCAUACAGAAUUUUUCUAGAAGAACAAGAGACUUUUUGUGAGAUAUGCAGACAGCUCCUAAGGUGAACUGGUCACCUUGCGACAUUUGUCACACUGGAUAGUGGAAACUUUCAAAUUCAUGUACCAGUUGGCGAAGCUUGACUUAUUGGACUAUCCAAGAGCCCACUCCACCAGAGCAGUAUAGACAUCUACAAUGCUACACAUACCACACCAUCAACGUUUGUAUGCCACUACUAACUGGUUGUCAAAGCUAGACAAGACUGCUCCUACAGCCAAGCCAUCCUCUCUGCCAUUCUACAAUGACACCUCCUACCUCCUAUAUCAAUUCCGUUGUGUUUCCUGCCUCUGGUGGGAGGCCCAGCGCAUCAUUUCUCCUGGAGGAACUCCCACCACCAGUCCAUAUUUUGGAUUGAUAACCUUCCGAGCCACAGUGGAGGAGGAAAAUCCCAGUUUCCCGAUGCCUUGACGGAAAGGGCAUGGAAUAUUUAGCUCCUUGUAGAGACUGACCUCCUCUGAAAUGGCAUAGAGCUCACGAAAUUCAAUAUCAAACAUCUCCACAUGUUGUCCGGUCAAGUACAAGAUAAUGUUUCUGUCUAUGUGGGAUGAUGUCCAUGUGAAACUAUACAACAAAAGAUGCUGUUAGUGAAUUGCAAUGUGAAACACCUAGUUUUUCACACCUAGGUUCUUGCCAUUCAAGAAUAUUGAGAUUGUUACUAGCUUAUCCAAGUACUCUGUGAAUUUUCCAUUUCUUAUUUGUACAACCAUAUAGCAGAAAAAGCCUUGCAAGUUUAGGUGUGUGACAUUCAAAGCAAUGAGCCCAAUACAGCCAACUUCACUGCUAAGAGCAUUCAGGAAGGAAGGGGACACAAAACUGCAGUGUCUAUAUAUGUCCUUUUAUGAAUUUACUGUGAAGGCCUUUACGUGGACUACUUUGGACAAACUAUAAUUAAAUUCACUGUUAUUGAUAAGUCAAAAUCCCUUUAGCAUAAUGAGCUCCAUUAGGUUUUUGAGUCAAUAAGGGUUUUUAAGCUAUAAAAGCUAAGAUUAUUUUGGUACAUUUAUGUGAAGAAGUGUCCCCAUUUAACACUGGAAGUGGGGAACUCAUGGGAUGAUGAAAAUUGUAGUCUAAAACAGCUGAAUGGCUAACCCUGAACUACAAGUAUAUACACAUAAGCCUUUUACCUAGUGAAGUGCAGAAAGUGGGGACAUGGCAUUGUGCCUUUUCAGUGGUAUCGCUCAGACUAUGCAACGCUUUGCCCUGGGAAAUUCACUAUACUCUAUCUCUUGGUGCUUUUAGGUAGAAAGUGAAACCCACUGCACACAUUCUGUAAUACUGGCUAAUGCUGUUCUGGUUUUGUUUUUAGCUGAAUUUAUAUUGCAUUGGUUUUUGUUUUGAUGAAAGUUUUUAUGUAUUGUAUGUGGAUUUUAAAAUUAUUUUAAAUGGAUUGUUAUGUAAUUGCAAACAACACUGUGAGACCUCCAAGGUGGUAUACAUGGUAUACUUAACAUGGUAAACUUAACGGAGGCAGCUCUUUGCAAUUUUGGGGCCCAGCACACAUUUAGCAGGCGUGCAUAUCAAAAUUUCCCCUUUUAAAAGGGAUAUCCUGUUUAACCUCUGUUCCAGCCCUCUCCAAAACUCAUGCUACAUUUCACGUUCAUAAAUGGACAGCUGCCCAUGAAGGAGGAGAUCAAUUAGCUCCCUAAUGGACAACUUGCAGUAAGGGGCUUCUUCUCCCACCAAGCAGCACAGAUAUGUAGCAUACUAUUCUGGAGGUAGAUAGUAAUCUCUUCUUCCAUAGGCAGUUCAGUAGCAGAACUUGGCCAUGCUCUAUCUGCCCCAACAGUAAUUUCCUCUGAGCAGUGGUGAAAUGGGGGCAAGCUGAUGGGCUAGACAUAGAGACCCCACCCCUGGCCUAAUUAAAUUUAUUGAACAGAUGUGUAUUUUCCUCAAGAUGGUAUACUAUGUUUGUAAAACCUACAAACAGAGCAAAAGCUUAUUAAAAUAUAUCAAAAUACUUUAAAGGCAGCAGCAAAACUUUAAGACCUGUUAAAAGUUAUAAUGUCAAAGCACUAGAAAUAGGAGCAGAUAAAGCAUUCCUGCAUUAAAAUCCCUUAAAAUAUUUGUAAUGAUGUGCACAGAAUAAAAUUUAAAGUUUGGCCCAAUAAAACUAUUUUAUCUCAUACCUAAAACUAACUGGAGUAGGCACAAAGCACAUGGACCUAAGGACAGCAUUUCCAAAGAAAGUGACCUCCACUGAAAAGGCCAUGUCGCUUUUUACUACCUACCCAAUUUGGAGGUUGGGGGAGGAAACAGAAAAGUUCUUAAGAUACAAGUAAAGUUCAUAUUGAAGUAGUUGGUCACUGACUUAUGAUGAUCAUUUCCCUCACAUAGGUCCUAUGUGCUUUUUUUGUCACACUAGUUCUCCAAAACCAACUUGUCAACAGAGAGAUUAAAGCUCACUGGUAAAACGUGUGCUGCAAACAUAUGGGGAGUCAUACUGGAUUAGACCAAAUAUCCACUUAGUUCAGAAUUUUUUUCCCCCAGAGUCAACCAGUUUCCCACCCUCCUGCUUAUGUUUAUUCAUCAACUGGUAUCCUGCGACAUAGUGUUUUAAAAGGGUUCUAUACUUAAAAAGUGCCUUUAAAAUCAUUUUAAAUUAAUUAAUUAAAUUACAGCUUUGAACACUGAGGACAAUCUAUAGCCAUCUUGACUUGUAACCAUUGAUAGCCUUCUUCAUGAGCCAUAAUGGGUUUCAGGUCCCAUCCCCAACACAAUGGAAGAUUAAACAGCAAUACCAGGAAAGACUAUGACAAGCUAUCAUAGUACCCUUUGGAUGCUGAUGGACUCUAGGUCUUAUCAACAUCUGCCAGCAAGGUUAAUAGUCAGGGAUGAUAGGAACUGAGCCCAGUAUCUGGCAGAUACGAGGCUGGCUAUCUCUGCCUUACCCUAAGUGUUCAAAGAGCCACUGACAGACUACAAUGAGAGGGAGAGGGAGAGGGAAACUGACCUGUAGGAUCCUGUAAGAACUUUAUCACCAUCCACCAUCAGGAAACGGGAGGCCAAAUUACCUUUAAUCUUCCCUGAUGGCAUAUAGAACCCAACUCCAGUCACAGAACGCACACGGAUAUUCUGAUAGGAAAAAAAAGAUGCAUUAUACACAAAGAAGUCAUAUGUAAGUUGUACUCCAAAAUAUCUGGGGAGGAGGCAUGAGGUUGAAGAAUCUGUCUUAAGUGAAUGAUCUUGCCAGAACAAACAGAAUAUAUAAGUACUUUUGACACAGCACAUAUUGACCAUAUUAAAAAUUUACACCUUUGUUUGGUCUCCUCUUCAUGUAUGGAUAUAUAUUAUUUGUCAAUGAAUCUACGAGAAAAAUCAAGAGAUUGACAGUGCUAUCCUAUACAUGUCUGCUCAAAAGAAAUGGGUAAAUUUGGCAGAUCCAGCUUUUAUAAUCUUAAGACUGGAUUUAUCCAGCUGCAUUUCCUCCACCCACUUCAGAGCUGGUGUACAACAUGCAAGAACUGUUGGGAAGGAAAAAUAAAUUGUCCUGUUUCUGGCA
Long non-coding RNA from Varanus komodoensis (Komodo dragon), 5998 nucleotides. RefSeq lists it as uncharacterized. Lineage: Eukaryota; Metazoa; Chordata; Lepidosauria; Squamata; Varanidae. The record is from RefSeq and is a predicted model, not a curated record. The transcript has 2 exons.